Molecule: long non-coding RNA, 1523 nt
Organism: Numida meleagris (helmeted guineafowl)
Lineage: Eukaryota; Metazoa; Chordata; Aves; Galliformes; Numididae
Exons: 3
Source: RefSeq, a predicted model, not a curated record
CUUUCCAGAGCUUCUCCCCUGAGACUGGAGAGUGGAAGAGUCUCUGAUCUCAUCAUACAGAUCCUGUCUUCUCUCCUGGCAUUGUCACUUCUCUUAUAAGACCAAGCAUCUAUACCUAUCUCCCGUGCUGGUGUCAAUGGACAGAAGGAUGCAGCAGCCUGCCUUCCCUGUUCCCGCAUUGCCAGAUCUAUACUCCUGAAUUACUUGUUGCUUUAGGAGCUGAAAAACCAGCCACAGGAAGACAAAGGCUCUGCAGUGGCUUUUAGUCUCCCAGGACAAAUCCCGAGCUGACAUCAUCUGCAAUUAUGGUGCACAAAUCCAACCACUCUGACAUAAGGUGGUAAAUUAUUCAUGGUUUGGCAACCACCAUAAAUGAAGAGCGUGCUUUAAGAAACCUCAGAACUGCCAGACUUGUUUUGUCACCACAGACCUACUCGGGCAGUGGCCUAUCUCUGAAAACAAUGCUUUGAAUUAUGGUGACAGAGCUCUAGGAUGAGAAGGCUUCAGAUUGGACUGAGACAUUCCUGGGAGAUAGAAGAGGAAGAAAUAUCUUUGUCAUCAUUGUUUUGCCCUUAUGAGGAUGAGGGACAAGCUGAGGCUGACCCAAAGGUGACAGAGGCAUCAAUCUGGCUGGUUGUUAGGAUGUGAGAAUGGGUGGAGAGGAAACCCAGCACUGCAGCCUGCUGUAGCUCUUGUAGGUCAUGCUUUCUUCCAGGAGACAUCAAUUUCUGCCUCACUAUUGCACAUCCCUAGUGCAGGCUGGAAAUAAUUGUUCAAUCCUAAAAGGCAAUACCAGUUGUGUGGUAAAAUGAAUUUUCUUUUUGCUGUUUGUCCUAUUUCUUAUACAUCUUUGCCAUAUACCAUUAUUGUCACCAUAAUGAAAAUGUAUUUAUUAACCAAGGAGCCCUGGGGAAAAUUGGCCAGGCUAUUGUCUCCUUUGUGGGAGGUGUAUCUUGUUACCCAGAGAAAACCCUUUUGCAUCAAUUACUCUAUUGAUUUACUCUGUUCAUUAAAGGCCUUUUUUACUCACAAUCAGCCACGUUAUCUAGACAUAAAGUAGAGACUGGAAUAAAUUUUUCAGAAAGUGUGAAACUGCAAAUGAACAUAUACUCAUGGAUCUUCACAGCCAGUAGGGACCAUUAUGAGCUUCUAGCUUGACCUCUUGUGUGGCUGAGGGCAGGGAAUAUGAGCAAGUAACUCAUCUGUGUGGUAUUAAAGAAACGUGUUCUUUGGAAAAUGCAUUUUAACUAGUCAUUGCUCAGGGACUAUGUGUUUAUUAGACUGCCCUUAUGCAAGCUGAAAAUUUAGCUUUUCUCCCUCUUUUCCAGUUCCAGUCCUUAAAUUUCUUCCACAUCCAUUUACCUGGCUGUGCUGGUGGCUCUGGGUAAUGCCAGAGAGACCCUGGCAGCCAGACAUGAUAGUGUGUGCUCAGGCAUCUGUUUGGAUUGAACCCAACUUCUUGUCAUGUGGAAGCCAGGGAACAGAGGGAGGAAUCGCAUGGUAAAGAAUUAAAUGACCCUUGC